Molecule: long non-coding RNA, 1025 nt
Filed under: Rattus norvegicus (Norway rat)
Lineage: Eukaryota; Metazoa; Chordata; Mammalia; Rodentia; Muridae
Description: long non-coding RNA NONRATT010164
Source: RNAcentral
AUGGGUAGAAACAGCCACGUGGUCUGAUCUGUACAUAAAUUAAAACAGCCAUUGGUGAUGGGGGCGUGGGGAGGGAGACGACUCUGUGAUUUGGGAGUCAACAGGUAGUGCCUUGUCAGUAAGAAAAAAUUUUUGUGGACCUAUCACAAUCCCUAUCUAUCAAGCUGUUCAAAGCAUUAAUUACAGCUUUUGAAGCAAAGUGUUUGUAUGCUGGGUACCACAAAUUCCACAAAGUAUCAGAGGUGGGCUUUUCAGCUUUAAAAAAGAAAAUAGCUGCUUAGAUAAGCAUGUACGUGACUUUAGUCCUAGCGCUUGGGUUUGAGGACAGCCUAGUUUAUGUUAAUUAGAGUCCAGGCUGGCCAGGCCUUUAUAAAGAAAAGAUUAGCUAUUCAUUAAGUUUAUAUAAAACACAGUAUUUUCACAUGCCUGCUGCUACACAGUAUGACUUACCGUGUUUACGGGCAUGAUCCAAAUUAAAGAUUUUUGUUGUUACUGGUUUGUUUUUGGUUUUUUGAGACAAGGUUUCUCUGUAACAGAACCCUGGCUGACUGGGACUCCCUCUGUAGACCAGGCUGGCCUCAAACUCACAGAGCUCCAUCUGCCUCUGCCUCCCAAACGUUGGGAUUAAAGUCAUGCACCACCACCGCCCAACUCAAAUUAGUUUUAUUCUGCCAUCUCUAAGUUAAGCUUAUUUCUUAUACUGUACAUGCUGCAUGACAUGGUGCAUGGUGCUUUCAAAAGGUUAAAACAAAACUUUUCUAGAAAAUAAUUAAGUUAAAUGUAAAACAUCCUAUGAAACCUAAAUUGGCCAGAAGCACAUCUUACCCUUUUGAUGUGGCUUUAAACUGCCUUUCACCAAUGUUAGAGGAGCCCUCAGGUAUUAAACCCAUUUGACAAGCAUGAAAGUCAGGGGACUCAGAAAAGAGCGAGCUGUACCAACUGAAUGCAAAAUGGGGCAACCCUCUUCUUUCACUGUGUAAUUACAACCCAUUCACCUGACAUGGUGCGCAGCAGAGUGCUUGCCU